UGGGGAAUUUUUCGCAAUGGGCGAAAGCCUGACGGAGCAAUGCCGCGUGGAGGUGGAAGGCCUACGGGUCGUCAACUUCUUUUCUCGGAGAAGAAACAAUGACGGUAUCUGAGGAAUAAGCAUCGGCUAACUCUGUGCAG
This 140-nucleotide ribosomal RNA is filed under the name uncultured bacterium. RNAcentral describes it as "partial 16S rRNA". It matches the Rfam family "Bacterial small subunit ribosomal RNA", at positions 355 to 510 of the family's 1533-position model. The record is from RNAcentral.